CCCUGGGUUGGACACCUGUCACCUGGGCGGGAGAAGGAAGAAAGACUCGGACUGGAGUUCCUAGAAAGGACAGGCAUAGUGGGGUCCUGUUGUGCGAGAGGGAUUUAAGUCGAAAUUAGUUAUUCAGACGCCGGUCGGUUAGGGUGUGGGCAUGGGUGUCGGUACCAUUCCCCCUACGCAGACCUUAGGCUACCAACCUAUCAGCAGGCCGCAGCUACCUUUAGUCUAAAGACCUCCAGCUCAGGGCCCAGCCCGCAGCUGCGCCCGGGCCCCGCACCGAAGGGGUUAAGCGACGGCCCUCCGCUCAGACGUUUACAAACACUCGGGAGCCGGGCGGGGACCGCGCCCGCUACUCUAAUGAGAAACAGGCUCGGCGGGGCCGGGGCGCAGGGGAGGGCUGGCCCGGCCGGCCCGAGCUCCGCCGCGGCCGAGGCGACUGCCCGCCCCCCUCCCCUCCCGCCCUCCCUCUGGCCCGCCCUGGGGACCCCCCAGCCCCGGGGGACCCCAGUGACGUGCGGAGCUGCCCCGGCGGCGAGCCCAGGACCGCGACGCCGGAGGGGCGGGGAGAAGAAGCCAGGCCGGCGGGGAGAGAAGAAUGUUCCGAGGCCGAGCGGGGAGCUUCAUCAUGGAAAUAAAGAAAGGAGAGACCCAAGGAGAGAGAGAGUGAGGAGCAUCCUGAGACGGACUGCCAACCCGCACCCAAGAGGCUGACCGAGGGCCGUGGGAAGCCGAGGCAAGGCGGGCGGGGGCGGAGACCCUGCCCCUGCUCUAGCUCUGCAUCCCCGACACGCCGCCUACGCACCCCGCGGCCCCCCGCCCCCUGAUCCGCUCCGCAGCGCUAGCAUUCUUUUCAAAUGUCAUAUUUCCUUUGAUCCUGGGCAGCGUUUCUCCAUGUGUCUGGCUCAGCUCCUGCCCAGCCAGCCGCUCCCCCCGCCCUCACCCCCUCUGUGUAUUUUCCUGAGGUCCCUCCCCCUCCUCCCAGCAUCUGGAAGGCCCUGAGGACUGGCGUUGGCGCACAUUCCCCUGGAGACUCUGGCCUCGCCUUCCAGUGACUCAAUUUCCCCUCUGCGGGUGGGGGCCGGGAGGUGUGGUGCGGGCGGAGAAAAGAGUUGUUGCGCGUAAAAGUGGUAUGAACGAGCCUGCAGACUGCUCAGAGCGCCAAGCUUUCCUCGUGGGGCAGAGGAGGGGGGGGCUCCCCUCGACUCUGAAAACCCUCGGAUCUGUCUGAACUGCAGCUAAGGGAUGGAAUUUAUAACUUCUGCGAAGUCCCCCGAAGUCCGGGGAAGAGUGGGUAGUUGUAGGUUUGGGUUACUCCGCACAUCUGCCCCCUGGCGACCACAAAGACCCAGCCGCCUGCCCUCCCGCGGGUCCAGUUUCUCGACCCCUGGCCUUGGUCCCCGAUCCGCGAUCCCCUAGCGCGCACGUCUGAGCACAGCUCUUCUUUCUCACCUUGUGUUCAUGGAGCGUUGACUUCUGCUCUCCACUUUCACAAGCGUGACUCAACGGCCUUGGAAGCGGACUUUCGUUGUUGCUGCUGUUUCUAAAUUACACAAAAUACAGUCUCCUUGUAAAGAAUUCAAGCCAUACAAAAAUAUAUAGUAAGCUGUGAUACCCCACCA
Long non-coding RNA from Capra hircus (goat), 1619 nucleotides. RefSeq lists it as uncharacterized. The transcript is spliced from 2 exons. The record is from RefSeq and is a predicted model, not a curated record. Lineage: Eukaryota; Metazoa; Chordata; Mammalia; Artiodactyla; Bovidae.